CAAGGGGUAGUUUAAAUAAAAUGUUAGUUUUGGGAAUUAACGAUAGGAAGUGUUUCCUUUCCUUGA
Molecule: transfer RNA, 66 nt
Filed under: Harpiosquilla harpax
Lineage: Eukaryota; Metazoa; Arthropoda; Malacostraca; Stomatopoda; Squillidae
Description: tRNA-Pro
Source: RNAcentral